Molecule: ribosomal RNA, 492 nt
Filed under: uncultured bacterium
Lineage: Bacteria
Description: partial 16S ribosomal RNA
Rfam family: Bacterial small subunit ribosomal RNA
Source: RNAcentral
AGUGAACGCUGGCGGUAGGCCUAACACAUGCAAGUCGAACGGCAGCACAGUAAGAGUUUGCUCUUACGGGUGGCGAGUGGCGGACGGGUGAGGAAUACAUCGGAAUCUACUUUUUCGUGGGGGAUAACGUAGGGAAACUUACGCUAAUACCGCAUACGACCUACGGGUGAAAGCAGGGGAUCUUCGGACCUUGCGCGAUUGAAUGAGCCGAUGUCGGAUUAGCUAGUUGGCGGGGUAAAGGCCCACCAAGGCGACGAUCCGUAGCUGAUCUGAGAGGAUGAUCAGCCACACUGGAACUGAGACACGGUCCAGACUCCUACGGGAGGCAGCAGUGGGGAAUAUUGGGCAAUGGGCGCAAGCCUGAUCCAGCCAUACCGCGUGGGUGAAGAAGGCCUUCGGGUUGUAAAGCCCUUUUGUUGGGAAAGAAAAACAGCAGAUUAAUACCCCGCUGUUCUGACGGUACCCAAAGAAUAAGCACCGGCUAACUUCGUG